Molecule: ribosomal RNA, 251 nt
Filed under: uncultured bacterium
Lineage: Bacteria
Description: partial 16S ribosomal RNA
Rfam family: Bacterial small subunit ribosomal RNA
Source: RNAcentral
UACGUAGGUGGCGAGCGUUGUCCGGAUUUAUUGGGCGUAAAGCGCGCGCAGGUGGUGCGGUAAGUCUGUCGUGAAAUCUCCUGGCUCAACUGGGAGGCGGGCGGAUACUGUCGGGCUAGAGUCCGGAAGAGGCGAGUGGAAUUCCUGGUGUAGCGGUGAAAUGCGCAGAUAUCAGGAGGAACACCGGUGGCGAAGGCGGUGGUCUGGGCCGGAACUGACGCUGAGGAGCGAAAGCGUGGGGAGCGAACAGG